AGUGAACGCUGGCGGUAGGCCUAACACAUGCAAGUCGAACGGCAGCACCGUAAGAGCUUGCUCUUACGGGUGGCCAGUGGCGGACGGGUGAGGAAUACAUCGUACUCUACUUUUUCGUGGGGGAUAACGUAGGGAAACUUACGCUAAUACAGCAUACGACCUACGGUUGAAAGCAGGGGAUCUUCGGACCUUGCGCGAUUGAAUGAGCCGAUGUCGGAUGAGCUAGUUGGCGGGGUAAAGGCCCACCAAGUCGACGAUCCGUAGCUGGUCUGAGAGGAUGGUCAGCCACAUGGGAACGGAGACACGGUCCAGACUCCUACGGUAGGCAGCAGUGGGGAAUAGUGGACAACAGGGGCAAGCCUGGUCCAGCCAUACCGCGUGGGUGAAGAAGGCCUUCGGGUUGUAAAGCCCGUUUGUGGGGAAAGAAAAGCAGCAGGUUAAUACCCCGCUGUUCUGACGGUACCCAAAGAAUAAGCACCGGCUAACUUCGUG
RNAcentral lists this ribosomal RNA (492 nucleotides) under uncultured bacterium. RNAcentral's name for it is "partial 16S ribosomal RNA". It matches the Rfam family "Bacterial small subunit ribosomal RNA", at positions 29 to 507 of the family's 1533-position model. The record is from RNAcentral.